This 2692-nucleotide long non-coding RNA is filed under the name Amborella trichopoda. RNAcentral describes it as "long non-coding RNA (ATRI_LNC002158)". The record is from RNAcentral. Lineage: Eukaryota; Viridiplantae; Streptophyta; Magnoliopsida; Amborellales; Amborellaceae.
CCGAUUCUAAAUAAUAUAAUACAUCAUUGAUCGAAUUUUAAAUAUUUGAAAUAAAAUUUGGAUGAUGACAAUAAUACAUUAUACACUUAAUGUAGCGGACCUUAAAUAAUAAUAUACAUCAUUGAACUAACUCUAAAUAAUUGAGAUAACAUAUGAAUGAUGACGAUGAUACACUACACAAUUGAUGUACAGUAGUUGAGAAUCUAACGCUCAUCCCAUCAGUUUGUGAUUAAUCUGGACCAUCUGCCAGGAGAGGGAUGGCGAAACUUGAAGGCUGGCCAUCGUGGCUGCGAUGUGUACUUUUCCGUGAACUGAAACAUACUUUAAUGCAAAAGUGAAUGGAAGAGAGGCUCCCACGAAAGCAUAAAAUGAAUGGAAAUGACCACGUACCAUCCAUCAGGUUAAGUGGAUGAGAUGACAUCACUUUCCAAUAGCAAACCCUAAAGUUUGCUUAAGAGGAGGAUAUCAUAUGUAUAUUAAACAAAUUUUUGCUCAUCAGUCCUCUCUCUCUCUCUCUUUCUCUUUCUCUCUCUUGUUUACUGGUGAUCCUUUGAAGGUCAAGCCGCUUCCUCUCUCUUACAGCCGAGUUGUGGUUUUUUGGAGUUAUCUUGUAGAGGCAGGGUUUCUAAUCGUCUUGUUUCUGGUGUUCCAAACCACGGAGAAGGCUGGGACUCGGCCACGAGAUCAGUGGCCCAGCCGAGUAAUAAAUAAAAAUAAAAAUUCCAAAAGAUAGGGGAAAUAUGUUUGAAGUAGAAUUCAAUAAAAUACAUUUAGAUGAGUUUAAAAAAUAGUGAAAAUAUGGAUUCUUAAAAAAAAUCAAUUUGUGAAGAAAAAUAAAAAAAAUGUAUUACAAAUAAAUUUCUUAGUUUUGAAUUAUUAUUUUUUUUUAUAACUUUUUGAAUUUUUUUAAAAAUCCCCAAGUUGGAUCACCCAACUCAAGGAUAUUCAGACUCACCAAGGUGGCUCGUCUGAGUUGGCUCGCCUGAGUUUUUCCAUGCUAGUUUUGAAACUCAGCUGAGUUGACUCAGACUCAGUUGCAUAAUUGUGCCUCGUUCUAAGAAAUGAAACCUUUUUUUAAUAUUAAUAAAUGAUGCAUAAAUAUGUUUCAAUGUAAUUUUUGUGUUUUUAACUUGUGAUUUUUUAUUUUUGAGUUUUUUUGGUAUUGUGUGCUCUAUCGUUUAUUUUUCCUUUUUUGGAUUUUCUAAAUUGUUUUAAUUUAUAAAUCAAUUUUAUCCACAUUCUGAUAUACUUUUUCCAAAUUUUAUGUAGACUUUUAAUGUAUUUUAUAACUACUUUAUUUUUUACUUAUUAUUUAUUUCGAACAAUUUUUAUAAAGGAUUGCAUACUAUGAGACUAUUUAUCUUUAGAAUUAACCUCCUAUCUUUUACAAUUUUGAGUAUGGUCUCAUACAUGACUUGGGCGAAAUUAUUUAGACUUUCAACCACCAAAAAUUGGAUUUUAAUGUCCCACCCCCUUCUGGGAUGUUAAAUUUUUUUUGGAGUACAGAAUUCCAAAAAUAUUUUCAAUGAGGUUACUUUACUGAAAAUCCCAAAAAUAUUGCGAUAACCACAUUGACUUGCCUCUCCCCCUCUCUCUCUCCACCCCUCUCUCUUGCCAACCAACAUCUCUAUCUCUCUCAUACUCAAAGAACUGCAAGACAAUAUUGAUUGACACACAUCAGAGAUACUGAUGAAGAAGAUCAGGCUCUAAUACUCAAAAGAGCUACAUGGCAAUGCUCAUUUUUUAUCAUCAGUUAAGCCCUACUCUUCCAAUUGAUUAAUCAUCUCAUCAAUUUCGAUACUCUUUUCUCGAAGUACAACAAAAAGACAAUAUGAGAGAAGCAAAAACAAUUAGCAUUUUAAAUGUUAUUCAAACGAAGUAGAGCUUAUAAAAAAAAUGUCACCCCAAUUGACAUGGAAACAAAAUGCAUACAUACCUCUCCUUGGAAAAUUCUGAAGGAGGAAUGUUACUUGUGCAGUAACAGUAGACUUAGGUCCUCAAGGCCUCCAGGAUAGCCCCCACUUGGUAGUGUCCUACUAUGAUCACUGAAUCUCAAUUGUAAAAAACAUUAAUCAUAAGAGCUGAAGAUUUGCACUAAAGAUAAAUUAUUGAAACUAAACAACAUAGAUUUAUUACUUUCUAUGUUGAAUCAUAAAAGAUUAACAUUAGUGAUGAACAAUAAUGUGUGUGUGAGAGAAAAAAAAGAAGAAGAAACAAGCAAAAAACAAAAAAAAAACAAAAACAAAAGGCAAAAAGAAAAGCUAUUGAGAAAACUAACAAUCAAACUAAUCAAACAUUUAACAAGUGAAGUGUUUGGGCGUUAAAUUUUUAGAAAAACCCAUUUCAAAAUGUGCUGAAAAAACAAAUCGUUAUAAAUGUAGAGCGACAUAAUGCACAAAGAAAUGCGAGUGCAGUGACUACGAGAUGUAAAAAUAAACUAUAGAUUUACAGAUUUACAAACCUGAAAACAAUUAAAUCGUUUUGGCUUGUUAUUCAUGAUUACCGAAAAACAAGAACAAAACAGUAGAUGUAAACAUACCUUCCAUGAUUCAACAAUAAAAGAAAACGACUUCUUAUUAUGAUCUUUGAAGGGUGUAGAUCGGCCUUCACCUCUUUUCUCCUCCAAGCUUGAUGGGAACUUCUUUAUGGAGAAUAAGCAAGAGUUGGGACCGUCACCUUAUAUCCCUUUUUU